CUCAGAGAGCCCUCUACAGAGACGUCAUGCCGGAGAACUAUGAGAAUGUGACCUCACUGGGGUUUCCAGUUUCCCAACCUGAUGUGAUCUCCCAGCUGGAACAACGGGAAGAGCCAUGAGUCACAGACCUCCAGGGUUCAGAGGAAAGAAAGAUCCUGAGAGUUCCCUGCACAGAUGAGGAAACAUUAAACCAACUCAGAAUCUCAGGUGAUGCAAGGGUAGGUGAGAAAGAGGAGCAGAAUUCUCAGCAGGGAAAUGUUGAG
Long non-coding RNA from Mauremys mutica (yellowpond turtle), 263 nucleotides. RefSeq lists it as uncharacterized. The record is from RefSeq and is a predicted model, not a curated record. NCBI's taxonomy places the organism in Eukaryota, Metazoa, Chordata, Testudines, Geoemydidae. The transcript has 3 exons.